GACGAACGCUGGCGGCGUGCUUAACACAUGCCAGUCGAACGGAAAGGCCCUGCUUUUGUGGGGUGCUCGAGUGGCGAACGGGUGAGUAACACGUGAGUAACCUGCACUUGACUUUGGGAUAACUUCAGGAAACUGGGGCUAAUACCGGAUAGGAGCUACUGCUGCAUGGUGGGGGUUGGAAAGUUUCGGCGGUUGGGGAUGGACUCGCGGCUUAUCAGCUUGUUGGUGGGGUAGUGGCUUACCAAGGCUUUGACGGGUAGCCGGCCUGAGAGGGUGAGCGGCCACACUGGGACUGAGAUACGGCACAGACUCCUACGGGAGGCAGCAGUGGGGAAUAUUGCACAAUGGGCGGAAGCCUGAUGCAGCAACGCCGCGUGCGGGAUGACGGCCUUCGGGUUGUAAUCCGCUUUCGCCUGUGACGAAGCGUGAGUGACGGUAAUGGGUAAAGAAGCACCGGCUAACUACGUG
RNAcentral lists this ribosomal RNA (468 nucleotides) under uncultured bacterium. RNAcentral describes it as "partial 16S ribosomal RNA". It matches the Rfam family "Bacterial small subunit ribosomal RNA", at positions 28 to 507 of the family's 1533-position model. The record is from RNAcentral.